GGGUCGGUGGCGUAGUUGGUUAUCGCAUCUGUCUAACAUGUUGUGUGCACAGAAGGUCCUCAGUUCGAACCUGGGCCGACUCA
Trametes elegans is the source of this 83-nucleotide non-coding RNA. The record is from the annotation of a GenBank genome assembly. NCBI's taxonomy places the organism in Eukaryota, Fungi, Basidiomycota, Agaricomycetes, Polyporales, Polyporaceae.